This 407-nucleotide ribosomal RNA is filed under the name uncultured bacterium. RNAcentral's name for it is "partial 16S ribosomal RNA". It matches the Rfam family "Bacterial small subunit ribosomal RNA", at positions 28 to 526 of the family's 1533-position model. The record is from RNAcentral.
GACGAACGCUGGCGGCGUGCCUAAUACAUGCAAGUAGAACGCAGUUGCGAACGGGUGAGUAACGCGUAGGUAACUGCCUCAUAGCGGGGGAAAACUAUUGGAAACGAUAGCUAAUCCCGCAUACUGUGACAUGGACCUGCGUUGUAUUAGCUAGUUGGUGAGGUAAAGGGUCACCAAGGCGACGAUCCAUCGCCGACCUGAGAGGGAGAGCAGCCACACCGGGACUGAGAAAAGGCCCAGGACUCCUAGGGAAGGAGCAGUAGGGAAUGUUUGGAAAUGGACGGAAGUCUGACCGAGGAACGGCGCGGGAGUGAAGAAGGUCCUCGGAGCGUAAAGCUCUGUUGUGAGAGAAGCGGUAACUACAGAGAAAGGGACGGCUAACUACGUGCCAGCAGCCGCGGUAAUAC